Molecule: ribosomal RNA, 441 nt
Filed under: uncultured bacterium
Lineage: Bacteria
Description: partial 16S ribosomal RNA
Rfam family: Bacterial small subunit ribosomal RNA
Source: RNAcentral
CCUACGGGUGGCAGCAGUGGGGAAUAUUGCACAAUGGGCGGAACCCUGAUGCAGCGACGCCGCGUGGGUGAAGGAGUAUUUCGGUAUGUAAAGCCCUAUCAGCAGGGAAGAACAAUGACGGUACCUGACUAAGAUGCACCGACUAAAUACGUGCGAGAAGCCGCGGUAAUACGGAGGGGGCAAGCGUUAUCCGGAUUUACUGGGUGUAAAGGGAGCGCAGGCGGGGCGUUAAGCCUGGUGUGAAAGCUCGCGGCCCAACCGCGGGACUGCAUUUGGAACUGGCGCGCUGGAGUGCGGGAGGGGUAGGAGGAAUUCCUAGUGUAGCGGUGAAAUGCGUAGAUAUUAGGAGGAACACCAGUGGCGAAGGCGGCCUACUGGACGGUGACUGACGCUGAGGCUCGAAAGCGUGGGGAGCAAACAGGAUUAGAUACCCGAGUAGUC